GUAACACGUGAGUGACCUGCCUUUUAGACUGGAACAACUUACCGAAAGGUGAGCUAAUGCCGGAUGAGUUAUAUAAGUGCAUGUUUAUAUAGGAAAAGUUGGGGAGACCUGACGCUGAAAGAUGGACUCGCGUCCCAUUAGCUAGUUGGUAGGGUAAUGGCCUACCAAGGCGACGAUGGGUAGCCGGCCUGAGAGGGUGGCCGGCCACACUGGGACUGAGACACGGCCCAGACUCCUACGGGAGGCAGCAGUGGGGAAUUUUGCGCAAUGCUCGUAAGAGUGACGCAGCGACGCCGCGUGAAUGACGAAGGCCUUCGGGUCGUAAAGUUCUUUCGACAGGGAAGAAAAUGCCUAUAAGUAACUGUGUAUGUAUUGACGGUACCUGUAUAAGCAGCCCCGGCUAACUCCGUGCCAGCAGCCGCGGUAAUACGGAGGGGGCGAGCGUUGUUCGGAGUGACUGGGCGUAAAGAGCACGUAGGCGGUGUUGUAAGUCAUUAGUCAAAGACUAGAGCUCAACUUUAGUAAGGCUAGUGAUACUAUAAUACUAGAGUAUCAGAGAGGAUUGCAGAAUUCCUGGUGUAGCGGUGAAAUGCGUAGAUAUCAGGAGGAAUACCGUUAGCGAAGGCGGCUUACUGGACUGUAACUGACGCUGAGGUGCGAAAGCGUGGGUAGCAAACAGGAUUAGAUACCCUGGUAGU
RNAcentral lists this ribosomal RNA (698 nucleotides) under uncultured bacterium. RNAcentral's name for it is "bacterial SSU rRNA". It matches the Rfam family "Bacterial small subunit ribosomal RNA", at positions 110 to 794 of the family's 1533-position model. The record is from RNAcentral.